This 202-nucleotide long non-coding RNA is filed under the name Physcomitrium patens. RNAcentral describes it as "long non-coding RNA (PPAT_LNC005743)". Lineage: Eukaryota; Viridiplantae; Streptophyta; Bryopsida; Funariales; Funariaceae. The record is from RNAcentral.
ACUUAUUUUUUGAGACAUUAUCUUCUUUGGUAAUUGUGCUCCUCAUUUUGUGAUUGCAUUGCUUCUUUAGAUAAUAUUGAGAAGUGUACUUAGCUUCUCUACAAUAUAAACACAAAUCCUCUUAUCAAUAUUAAAACUUUUCCUACUCUGUGAGAGAUUUAAAACAUAUUGUAUCAAUUUGCAUUCGUUCUGGUCUUGAUGA